UACGAAGGGGGCUAGCGUUGCUCGGAAUCACUGGGCGUAAAGGGUGCGUAGGCGGGUCUUUAAGUCAGGGGUGAAAUCCUGGAGCUCAACUCCAGAACUGCCUUUGAUACUGAGGAUCUUGAGUACGGGAGAGGUGAGUGGAACUGCGAGUGUAGAGGUGAAAUUCGUAGAUAUUCGCAAGAACACCAGUGGCGAAGGCGGCUCACGGGCCCGUUACUGACGCUGAGGCACGAAAGCGUGGGGAGCAAACAGG
RNAcentral lists this ribosomal RNA (253 nucleotides) under uncultured bacterium. RNAcentral describes it as "partial 16S ribosomal RNA". It matches the Rfam family "Bacterial small subunit ribosomal RNA", at positions 524 to 776 of the family's 1533-position model. The record is from RNAcentral.